CAUUUAAAAAAUGGGGACCGGACCUAAACCUAGCCUACGGUUUGUAUGGAUGACUGCCUUUUAUAUUCAUGUUCACGGACUGGUCUUUCUGGUCCGUGGACGGAUGGAGUGUCCGGUUUGCAAAUCACCAUUGAAGAUGUGGUGUCCGAUGCGCGACCAACCACUGCAGCGCCACCCACCUGCACCUGCACUGCUGCGAUCCUUCCCUGUGCCCCAUCUUUGCUGCUGGGAGACUCCAAUCGCCGGCCCAUUCUCUCCUUCCCCGCCGGCUCUGCUGAUGAGCUGGUCUUUCUGCUUUGACCACACGAACUCGCCCCACCUCUAGCCGGCCUCCUUAUCCCGCCUCUGCUGCUGCUAGGUACGUACUCCUGCAAAAUUGGAAAUGUUAAUUUGGAAACAAUCAAUCAGGAAAUGGCAAGAUUUUGUUAAUUUUGAAAAGAUUCAAUCAUGUUAAUUAUGGAAACAUUCAAUCAGGAAAUGGCAAGAUUUUGUUAAUUUUGGAAACAUUCAAUCAUGUUAAUUUUGUACCAUUUUAACUUCAGAAACAUUCAAUUAGACAAGGAUUUUGGCAAUUGGAAUUAUUACGGCGUAGAUUAUGGACUCUCACCUAAUCAUCAUCUAUGGUCCUCUGGCUGAAUUGCACAGAUGCUUCAAGACAAGCCUCUACAAAAAAGCAAUAAGAGUUGAUUACUAUGUUUUGCAUAGUCACCAAAAUGUCACAAAAGGGAUAGGCUAGAGUUUAGACCUCCCAGCCUUUUGCAUGUUUUGUUGUUCAAGGGAUGCACCAGGAGAUAUGCAAUUUGCAUAGUCACCAAAAUGUCACAAAAGGGAUAGGCUAGAGUUCAGACCUCCCAGCCUUUUGCAUGUUUUGUUGUUCAAGGGAUGCACCAGGAGAUCUGCACCGGGAUACUCUAACGGGCUAUUGCAACUAAAAUAGACACGGUUAAAUUAAAAUGAGACUACCUUAUGUUAAAUGUCUAGUCCUCUAGUGAAAUUAACAGGAGUAUUUGUUUAGAUGGUAGAUUGAUUAAGUUAAAUGUCUACUCCUCUGGUGGAACAGUUUUGAGCCACUAACCGAAAAUGUUCAGGUUCUAAAAAUGUUUAGGUUUCAAUUUAUUUGGAUUAUUUGAAUUUAUUUGGAAUUAUUUUAAUUUAUUGAAAUUAUUUGAAUUUAUUUGCAUUAA
Long non-coding RNA from Triticum aestivum (bread wheat), 1184 nucleotides. RefSeq lists it as uncharacterized. The transcript is spliced from 2 exons. The record is from RefSeq and is a predicted model, not a curated record. NCBI's taxonomy places the organism in Eukaryota, Viridiplantae, Streptophyta, Magnoliopsida, Poales, Poaceae.